Molecule: unclassified non-coding RNA, 638 nt
Filed under: Hevea brasiliensis (rubber tree)
Lineage: Eukaryota; Viridiplantae; Streptophyta; Magnoliopsida; Malpighiales; Euphorbiaceae
Source: RNAcentral
GGUUAAAGAAACUGAUUGGCCAAUUGCAAGCAAAUCAAAUAGUUCAAAAACAGUAGUGUAUCUCAUUGAUCCCAAAAUGAAAAGGUCCCAUAUCCCAUGGGCAAACAAACAUCAAGCUAGAGAAGAUGUAAGGAUGUCAACAUUUACAAGAUCCAGAUCGAGUUCUCCCCCAAUUGAGACAUCUUUGAACUGCAAAGCAGAAACCUUGCAGUCUAUCAUCUAUUUAUUUGUUGUUGUCGUCGUCAUCAUCAUCAUCUAUCUAGUAACCUCCUUGUAUGAAGGCAUUCAACCGUUUCAGCUCUUCCCUGUGCUCACCCACAACAGCACGGACAACAUCUCCAAUGGACACCAUCCCUAUCAUACCUGUCUGAUCGAUAACUGGAAUGUGCCUGAUUCGAUUAUCUGUCAUCAGUUGCAUUGCUUUCAGAACUUUGGUUUCAGGUGUGACAGUGAUAAGCUUGUUCUCCUCCGUCAUGAUGUCCCCGACCUUUGUUGAUUUGGAUGAUCUUCCCUGAACUAUGAUUUUCCGAAGAUAAUCCCUCUCUGUAAUAAUGCCAGCAAUAGACUUAUUUUCCCCAGAUUUGACAACAACCAAGGCUCCUACAUUGUGCUGUGUCAUCGAUUUGACAGCAUCAUAA